Molecule: ribosomal RNA, 253 nt
Filed under: uncultured bacterium
Lineage: Bacteria
Description: partial 16S ribosomal RNA
Rfam family: Bacterial small subunit ribosomal RNA
Source: RNAcentral
UACAGAGGGGGCAAGCGUUGUUCGGAAUUACUGGGCGUAAAGGGCGCGUAGGCGGCCUGCUAAGUCGAACGUGAAAUCCCCGGGCUCAACCCGGGAACUGCGUCCGAUACUGGCGGGCUUGAAUUCGGGAGAGGGAGGUGGAAUUCCAGGUGUAGCGGUGAAAUGCGUAGAUAUCAGGAGGAACACCGGUGGCGAAGGCGGGUCUCUGGGCCGAUACUGACGCUGAGGAGCGAAAGCGUGGGGAGCGAACAGG